AUGGGGGGCUCACCACUCCAUCCCAACAAGCACCUCCUCAAACCCCUCUACCAGCUGCUUGUGAACAACUUCCUCGCCGUCGUCGUCGUGCCGGCGACAGCCGUCGGCGUUCUCCACAAGGCCGCGCAACUCGGCCCCGACGAGCUGCUCAUCCGGCUCCAUGGCUUGCGGCAGGUUCACGUCUUCCUGGCCGUCUUCCUCCCGUUCGCCUUGGCCACCCUCUGCCUCAUGCGCCGCCCUCGCAGCGUGUACCUCGUGGACUACGCUUGCUGCCGGCCGAAACCCAAUUGCCGCGUAUCCAUGGGCUCCUUCACCGAGAACGCUCGCAACAUGCCGUACCUCGACGAUGGCAGCUUCCGCUUCUUGACGCGCAUGCUCGAGCGCUCGGGCCUCGGCGACCAGACCUACCUCCACCCUUCCUUGCACAAUAUUCCCCCGCGCUGCAGCCUGAGCGACAGCCGCGACGAGGCGGAGCAGGUCAUCUUUGCAGCCAUCGACGACCUGCUCGCCAAGACGGGCAUAAGUCCCGGAGCGAUCGACAUCAUCGUCACCAACUGCACCGCCUUCAACCCGACGCCGAGCUUCACCGACAUGAUCAUAAACAAGUACAAGCUCCGAAGCGACAUCCGGGACGCCCACAUCUCCGGGAUGGGGUGCAGCGCGGGGGUGAUCUCCAUGGAGGUCGCGAGGAACCUCCUGCGGGCGGCGCCGCGUGGCGCGCACGCCCUGGUGGUGUCCACGGAGACCACCUCGCUCAUCAACUACACGGGGAAGAACCGCGCGAUGCUGCUGCCAGCCGUCCUGUUCCGCAUGGGCGCGGCCGCGGUGCUGCUAUCGACGUCCAAGUCUACGUCCCGGUUCCGGCUCACGCACGUCGUGCGGACGCUCACCGCCGCGCAGGACAGAGCUUACCGGUGCGCGUACCAGGAGGAGGACGACGAAGGACAGACGGGAAUAAACCUGUCCAAGGACCUCGUGGCUAUCGCCGGCGAGACGCUCAAGGCAAACAUCGUCGCAAUAGGGUCGCUGGUCCUCCCACCAUCGGAGAAGCUGCUCUUUGCGCUGUCGUUCGUUGCGCGGAAGGUGCUCAACAGAAAGACCAAGCAGUAUGUUCCAGAUUUCCGCACGGCCUUCCAGCACUUCUGCAUCCAUUCUGGUGGCCGUGCAGUGGUCGACGCGGUGCAAACUAGCUUAUGCUUAUCAGACGAGGACGUCGAGCCAUCACGGAUGACGCUUCACCGGUUCGGGAACACGUCCAGCAGCUCGUUGUGGUACGAGCUUGCAUACAUCGAGGCCAAGAGACGGACGCGCAAGGGCGACCGUGUGUGGAUGGUCGGGUUCGGCUCUGGGUUCAAGUGCAACAGCGCCGUGUGGGAGUGCAUCAGGUCGCCCAGCAACAGCCCUAUUGGCGCGCCAUGGGCUGAUUCCAUUCAUCAUUAUCCAGUAUUAGGGGUUGGGGCGUCACCUGGUGGAACCUCCUGA
RNAcentral lists this ribosomal RNA (1482 nucleotides) under Triticum aestivum (bread wheat). Its description in RNAcentral is "partial small subunit ribosomal RNA". The record is from RNAcentral. Lineage: Eukaryota; Viridiplantae; Streptophyta; Magnoliopsida; Poales; Poaceae.